UCCUACGGGAGGCAGCAGUGAGGAAUAUUGGUCAAUGGGCGAGAGCCUGAACCAGCCAAGUAGCGUGCAGGAUGACGGCCCUAUGGGUUGUAAACUGCUUUUAUAAGGGAAUAAAGUUAGUCUCGUGAGACUUUUUGCAUGUACCUUAUGAAUAAGGACCGGCUAAUUCCGUGC
RNAcentral lists this ribosomal RNA (174 nucleotides) under uncultured bacterium. RNAcentral's name for it is "partial 16S ribosomal RNA". It matches the Rfam family "Bacterial small subunit ribosomal RNA", at positions 337 to 508 of the family's 1533-position model. The record is from RNAcentral.